CAGCAGCCGCGGGAAUACGGAGGGUGCAAGCGUUAAUCGGAAUUACUGGGCGUAAAGCGCACGCAGGCGGUCUGUCAAGUCGGAUGUGAAAUCCCUGAGCUUAACUUAGGAAUUGCAUUCGAUACUGGGAAGCUAGAGUAUGGGAGAGGAUGGUAGAAUUCCAGGUGUAGCGGUGAAAUGCGUAGAGAUCUGGAGGAAUACCGAUGGCGAAGGCAGCCAUCUGGCCUAAUACUGACGCUGAGGUACGAAAGCAUGGGGAGCAAACAGGAUUAGAUACCCCUGUAGUCCCUGUCUCUUAUAC
This 301-nucleotide ribosomal RNA is filed under the name uncultured bacterium. RNAcentral describes it as "partial 16S ribosomal RNA". It matches the Rfam family "Bacterial small subunit ribosomal RNA", at positions 509 to 807 of the family's 1533-position model. The record is from RNAcentral.